GUGCUUAGAGAUUUGGGGGUAAGCCCAGUGAUGCUGCUUAUGUGGGCUGUCCAAGCUGGGUGGUAACCAAUCCCAGCAUUGAAUGUGCUGAGAGCCGGACCGGUGGAUGUCCCCAUUGCCCUGAGGCAGGUCCAGGAGAAGGCUCCUACUUGCUGUGCAGAAGACAAGGUAACUCUUGUCCUUGAUCUACAGCCAGAAGACAGCAGGGCUGCUUCUCUCUGCAUCCCAGCCUCCACUCUUCUCUAGAUACCAUCACCACCGUGACAACUGCAGUUAACACUUAGUGAAGACCCCUAGGGCCAUGUGCCCCUGCGAUGCCCACAGAUGCCUCUGAGCUCACGGCUGUGAGAGGCUCCUAACUGCACCCACCCCCGAUCAGCCAAAGCCAGUUACUCCACGUCCAAGACACAGGCAUGUUAAAAUGUAAACUGCCGUUCAUCAUCCGGCAGCGUGACUGUUUGCCUCCAUCAGGCCCCAGUCCGGCCUCAGCACGCCUCCACGCUCUCCUCAGCGUCAAAGAAACAGCCUCGUCCUGCCAGGGCCUUCGCCAGGCCUGGCCCGGGAAGUCAGGGCUCCCUGACCCGAUGGAGCGAAUCGUUGUGAGCAUUUAUUUAAUAGCAUUAUCUUGAUGAUGAAUAAAUCACACCUUCAUGAACCAUU
This is a non-coding RNA of Macaca mulatta (Rhesus monkey), 660 nucleotides long. Lineage: Eukaryota; Metazoa; Chordata; Mammalia; Primates; Cercopithecidae. The record is from RefSeq and is a predicted model, not a curated record.